GCCAUUGGAUCAUGUUUGGGCACUCCAGAUCUCGCCAAGAAUCAUCACAUCAGGCUUUAUCAAAGUCAACAUCACUGUCAGCCAUUUGAUCUUACAUUAGAUCGAAUUCCCUCCAUCGGAUCAUGCAAAAAUGAAGCUUUGUUUGUUUAGUUCUCAGCCGGCAAUGAACACGGGCCAUUCGAUCUUGCUUCAAACCAAUUUGGACUGUCGAUUCGCAUAGUUGGAGUAGGCCACCAUCAUUUGAUAUGGGAUAGAGUGAUUUAGACCGUUCGAUCUCGUGCAAAAAUCAAUCCCAGCCAUCCAUUAACGCAAAAUGCCUCAUACACUGUGAUAAAAGUCAGAUGACAUCGUUCCCGUGUGCCGCCCAUGAACCUGACAUUGCGCAGCUUAUGGACCGCACUGUUAGUCAUGCCCUAU
Molecule: long non-coding RNA, 417 nt
Filed under: Elaeis guineensis (African oil palm)
Lineage: Eukaryota; Viridiplantae; Streptophyta; Magnoliopsida; Arecales; Arecaceae
Description: long non-coding RNA (EGUI_LNC068985)
Source: RNAcentral